GUGCUCACUUUGGCAGCACAUACACUAAAAUUAGAACGAUACAGAGAAGAUUAGCAUGGCCCCUGUGCAAGGAUGACAUGCAAAUUCAGGAAAUUUAAGGAAAUGAU
Cavia aperea (Brazilian guinea pig) is the source of this 107-nucleotide small nuclear RNA. NCBI's taxonomy places the organism in Eukaryota, Metazoa, Chordata, Mammalia, Rodentia, Caviidae. The record is from Ensembl.